RNAcentral lists this transfer RNA (66 nucleotides) under Ciona intestinalis (vase tunicate). Its description in RNAcentral is "tRNA (ENSCING00000025223.1)". RNAcentral also lists the same sequence under 1 other name. Lineage: Eukaryota; Metazoa; Chordata; Ascidiacea; Phlebobranchia; Cionidae. The record is from RNAcentral.
ACUUUAGUGUCUGAUAAAAGUUAAAAAUUGUAAAUUUUUACAUAACAGAAUUUCUGUUCUAAAGUA